CUCCAAAAUCAUAAGAUGGGGAAAAAAGGCAGGGGGAGAAGAAGCAGUCAAACAGAGGGCGGCGGAGGCGGCGGUGGCUGGUGCCUUGUGGCGAUCUGCGCGAAGAAAUCGAAGAACUCUGCCUCUCCUCCCGCGGAAUUCAGCGUCGAUUCCCCCAAAUUGACCCGCGGGGGCCGCGGUCAGCCGCAUCCUGAGAUGGUUUUCUGAUUGCUGAGUGGAGUGAUGAAUUUGAGACCGGUCGUUCUCAUCUUCCUCCUGCUUGUGCUCAUAAUCACAUCACAGUUUGAAUGGAAGCAGCAGAUUGGUGAGGCCGAGGCAAACCCAACAGCUACACGGCGAAGGCAACAAGCACUACUAAGGGAAGAUGCUGUUAAGGAGAAAAUAAUAUUGGCACAGGAGAAAAACAUUCAACAGCUGAAUGUGCUUAUCCAGAGCCUUCAGCUGCAGCUACUACAUUGUCGUCUCAGUAAUAGUACUACUCACACAACCUCAAAUCAGUCAACGAACAAUAGUGCAGUGGAGGGACAUGAGAUGAUUGAUGAUUAACCUCUCAGUUGUAAUGGCAUAAUAUAGGUAGAUAACUUCAUGGUAUACAGCCAACUCAAGAACAGGUAUCUUUCAGGCAAAGAAUACCUUUAUCGUCAUCAAGAAGUAGGACGGUAGAGAAUCGUGUUGUUUGAUGUAUUGAUGCUCAAGCAUUAUCAUCACAGUAUCAUCCUUUUUCUCUGCACAAUCUUGUAGAGGAUUUUAGUGCGUACCAUUUUUUCUCCUGCUUGUGUUGUAUCAUAAUGAUUGAAGUUACUUUCCGGGUUAACUUUCAAAUAUGAUUGUGCCAAUGUUCCAUCUGA
Oryza brachyantha (malo sina) is the source of this 848-nucleotide RNA transcript. RefSeq lists it as uncharacterized. The transcript is spliced from 3 exons. The record is from RefSeq and is a predicted model, not a curated record. NCBI's taxonomy places the organism in Eukaryota, Viridiplantae, Streptophyta, Magnoliopsida, Poales, Poaceae.